AAUGGGGCUUGUAAUAAAGAUUGCCUUAUCAGGAGAGCCUGGCUUCCUUCCUUCCUUCCUUCCUCCUCUCAGCAGGAGAUGAUGGCAGAGAGCUCUUUUCUUUUCCUCCUUCAGGUAUGCCUACAGGAUUCCUGUCUCCAUUCCAAGCACCUUCUCAGGCAGACAGCAGGACAAACACCAUCUGUCAGAAAAAGAAGGCACCUGCAGUGCUUGCGUGUGUGAUGGUUCAUGCUGUCUUCCUGUCGAAAUGGAGAGGUGAUGAAAUUCUGUUCAUUCCAGAUGUUCUGUCUGAAUAGCAUGUGCAGUGGAGGCUACUAUGCUGUCUUCAGUGUAAAGGUCAGCUACCAGUCUAGUCAUCUUCUGAAGUAAAUGGAACAGUGGCCCCUCUUGCCUUUGUCUUCGGCAAAAUCUAUUUUUAAAGCCAAGUUUUAAACAGUGGGAUGUAAAUGUAAGCCAUUAAUAAACAAUGCUUCCCCAGCA
Sceloporus undulatus (fence lizard) is the source of this 480-nucleotide long non-coding RNA. RefSeq lists it as uncharacterized. The record is from RefSeq and is a predicted model, not a curated record. The transcript is spliced from 3 exons. NCBI's taxonomy places the organism in Eukaryota, Metazoa, Chordata, Lepidosauria, Squamata, Phrynosomatidae.